CAGGGUCGGCCUGACGUAGCAUGGCGCCAAUGAUUGAUAAAGACGGGUCUGAAAAGUUGGGUGAUUUCCUGGCUGAAACCCUAACGGCGCUUGGGGCUAUCGAAACAGUCACACUCCAUCUAGGAUUUUCGACAUGAAACCUUAGUUUUGAACUAGGGUUGACCGCUAAAGACUGGGUGGGUUGCAGGGGCGGAGGAUAGUACAAGGGUAUAUGUGUUGUAGCCCAGAUUAACUUUUUUUUCCUUUUUAGAUUAACUAGGGUUAAUUAUCCUAAAUUGCACAUUUGUAUCAACCUUAGCCCAGCCAAAUAUUCUGGCAUCCAAACAACCGUGUCAUUUUUAGAAGAGAAUUCUAAACUUGAUUGACUUCAUCAUGUAAUACACAUUAACCAUAAAAGUCUAAUUGCAAAUCUCACUAGAAAUUGAAAAUAAAGCCCAUUAAAAAUCAUAAAUAAAGUGUUUGAUUAUCUUUCAUUUCUCUUCAACCUAGUUUUUCUUUUUCUUCCUUAAAGUAGGCAACCUAUUUAACUCAAUCAAUAUUUAAAGUGUAUCUACAACUAAACUAUGAGCCGUCAACUCUCAUUCAACAAUUUUCUAGAGGUAUAUUCAUAAUUUCAUAUGUUUAAGAGUUUUUAUUAAAUGAAAGUUUAGCCCAGUCGAUUUUGAAAUCCUAGUUCCGUCUGGCAGGUUGCCUAGGCUGGCAGGGUCUGUUUUGGGAGCUGAGGUUACUGGGUUUAGUAGGCAGUGGGACUAGGGUGGUUGUGUUGCUUGGGCUACCACUCGUGCAAAAUAUGGACUCAGGGUUUGAUCUUCAAGGUCCAAGGUUGGCAUGCUAUGACACGGAUGUGAUAGAGGUGAUUUCAUCUUAUGGAAAAGUCAUAUCUUUUCUUGAAGAAUCUCUUUGGAUAGAGAAACCGAUCAAAACCUUGAAACAUAAAGGUAUGUCAUUGGGAAGCAAGUAUACGAAGCACCAGAAGAAGUUUAAUUAAGCCUCUGAAAUUGGUUAUUCCGUGUCAUCUGGCAAAUCCCGAGGUUUGAUAGGGGAGAGGCAAGCCCUAAUUAUAAGGGCAAGGAGAUCUACUAAAAAACAAAGCAAGGAGGUACCUUAAUUUAUUUGUUUUUUUACCUAGACUUAUGUUCGAAAAUUAUACUAUUUAUUUCUCUGUAGUAUUUAGUUGAACACCAAUUGCUAUCUUUAGGCGACUAAUAUUAUCAUUACAUGGGAGUUAGAUAGGUAUGGUUAGAAGUCAUUUGUAUUAGGUUUUGAUUUGUGCUUAUUUGUAAUGAGGGGUAGCUAUCAUUUGUAAGCUUGUUACCACAAAUUGAGACAAGCCAUCGACUGAUACAUGAGUCUUCUCGCUAAGGAUAUCUUUCAGUCAACAAAAAAAAAAAAAUUACAGAUACCAGAUGAGAUAUACGUAAUAAAUCAUCGGUCUUAUCAUAUGUGGCCCGAAUUUGGUCUUCUGCUUGGAGUUGGGGACUCGGGUUGACUGAUGAUAGCAAAGGUUACGAGAUGGGCUUGAAGGUACGUAGGAUGGAGGUGGCGGCGUUGCCUGUGCAAUAGUUCUAUCGAGCUAGAGUCAUCGAUUGGGGCUUCCGAACCCUAACUCAGUUGUGGGCUUGGCUUCGACCUCGGGUCUAAGAUAUUUAAUUUUCUUUCUUAACUUUGUAGUUAGUUUUUUGCUUAUUUGAUAGUAUUUGAAUUAAAAAUCCUACCAUUACUUAGUACGACAAUGUGGGGAACGUUGUUCCUGUCUAUUCAUCCUGACUGCCUUGUCUACCCUAGGUUGGCGGGUCUAAGACAUUUAAUUUUCUUUCUUAACUUUGUAGUUAGCUUUAUGCUUCUUUGAUAGUAUUUGAGCUCGUUAAUAAUCCUACCAUUACUUAGUACGACAAUGUGGGGAACGUUGUUUCUGUCUAUUCAUCCUUACUGCCUUGUCUACCCUAGGUUGGCAAAGAGUUUCUUGCAAUGGAAUUGAGUAAUAAUUAACCGUCUAGUGGAAGUAAAUUGUUUGCUUUCAGUAGGCAACGAUUUCUUUGCUUUAUCAAAUGAUCCAUGCUUCUUAGCGGUAAAGUGAAACUCAGUGUCAUCGGAUAUGCUUGUAUAUCGGUGGCAACAAUAUGGAAAAACUGCACUAUUGACGAUGAUGCUAUUUCAUAAUAGAGUUAUUUUUCUUGUAUGUCACUAUGUAAUUGUAGGUGGAAUAUGUUGAUUAUCCUUCAAUAUUGACCUUGCUGUUAUUUAGUUACAACAGAUUUUUAGAGAGAUGAAAUGAGUGUGUGACACGUGUUUACAUUACAGCUUCAUUUCUUUGUCUGUUUGUUACAGCAUUCCUUUCUCUUCUUGUAUAAAUAUCUUUAGAGACUCAUUUCUUUGUAAUCAAGUUUCCAGAUAAUCAAAACAUUUCUCUCUGAGAUUUUGUUCGUCUCUCUUUCUCUCUUUUCUUUCUUGUUUCUCAAACCCUAGCUCAUCUCUGAUGCCAUGGCUAUCAUGGUAUCAAAGCUCCAAUAGAUCCAAGACCUGAGAUACAUGCUUCUGACUCUCCUCUAAUCAUUCUCUUUGGUUUUUUGUUCAGAUCUAGCUCUCGUUGUGCUGCGAUUUGGUUACCAGGGGCUUUGUUCUUAAUUGAAGCUUGAUUAGAGUUUUAAUUUCUUCAUCAGAUCUGAGCUUAUUGAUCACACUUAGGUGAUUUUCUUUGCUCAUAUUCCUUGAAAAAUAUGCGAUUCAUAGUUCUUGGUGAAAUCUGUAAAAUUUUAGAGUUGUGGAGUAAAUCAUGAGCAUAUAGAGCAAAUCAGAGUAAAAUUAGAGCAUAUAGUGUCUCUUUUGAGCAAAUAGCUUCUUGUCUGAGAUAAAAUAGAGCAAAUCUGAGCCUAAAUCUGAGUUUAUUAGAGUAAAUUCUGAUGAAGAAUACAAUUCGAGCAUAUAGUUGAGCUUUGAUGAAGGUUUAGAUGUGAGUACAGAGAUUUUGAGUAUUCAGUUGAACUUUGAUGAAAUUUUAGAUGCAAAUGCUGGUUUGAGUGCUUCAGUUGAGCUUUGGUAAAAUUUUAGAGCUAUUUCAGUGCCUAUGUUGAGAAAAAUUAGUGAUCUGUAGUAUCUGAAGUUGUGCAAUUGGGAGUAAAACUUGUGCACAUUUCAGCUGUUCUUUUUGAAGCAGAAGUGUCUACUUGUGCUGAUCUCAAUCAGUAUUUUUAGUAUUAGUGGUAUUCCUGAUAGAUUGACAUUUGCAGCUAAGGUUCUCAUGGCUUCUCGAAGUGCAUCAUCUAUACCUAGUCUUUCACACUCUGAUGUUCACUCUUUGUUGAGCAUCAUUACAAUGCGUCUUGGAGAAAGGAACUUUAUUAAAUGGAGUUUUCAAUUUCAGUCUACUCUUGUUGGAAAUGGAUUGUUUGGAUUUUUUUAUGGCUUUGAGGUUGCUCCGCCUAGAUAUGCUCUUGCUUCUGAAGGUGAAGUUACAACUGAAGAAACUGCAGCAUAUAAGGCAUGGAAACAAACAGAUAUGGCUCUUCUCAGUCUUUUGAUAGCUACUUUGGAUGAGGAUAUUGUAGAUGUUAUUAUUGGAAGUAAGACAUCUAGGCAAGCUUGGAUAGCUCUUCAAGAACAUUUUUCUGCUGUGUCAAGAGUGAGCAUUAUGCAACUCAAAACUGAGUUACAAACGCUUGGCAAGGGAAGUGAAACAGUUGAAAAAUAUCUGCAGCGUGUGAAGAGUGCUAGAGAUCAACUCCUAUCUGUGGGAGUGUCUGUUCCUGAUGAAGAUCUUGUAAUUGUCAUUCUAAAUGGAUUACUUGAUGAGUAUUCCACUGUGAGAAUUGUGAUUGAGGGUAGAGAAACUCUUAUUUCUCUCCAAGACUUGAGGUCUCAAUUGCUUUCUGUAGAAAGAAGAAUUGAAGAAAGUUUCUCUCUUCUUUCAAACAUGUCUGCUAUGGUAGCUAGAGGCAAUAAUGGAUCAAAUGAGGGAGCACAUGGUACUGGUAGAGGGUGGAAUGAUAAAGUUGAUGGCAAAGUGAAAGAUAAUAGAUUUGCAGGUAGUGGUGUUGAAUGUUCUGUGUGUUGGAAACGAGGUCAUACUGUUGAUACAUGCUUCAGGGUUCACAAAUGUGGGAUAUGUGGUAAACAUGGUCAUCUUACAAGCACCUGUUAUCAGAAUCCUGAUUACAACAUCAACAGUCUUCUCAACCUCAAUCCAAGCCUCAAUAGUCUUCUCAACCUCAAUAUAGGCCACAAAAUAACGGUCCUUCUCCUGAAUGUCAAAUUUGUUCUAAGAAAGGUCACACAACUGCAAAUUAUCCUUGUCCAUUCCUACAUGUCAGAUUUGUGGUCUCAAGGGCCAUGUUGCUCUUAACUGUUCUCAUAGAACCAACUUUGCAUAUCAAGGCUCAGAUCCUCCUUCUACUCUUACUGCUCUAGAAGCUCAAUCUUCUACAAAUACUAACGGUGUUUUUCAGCAAACACAGGGAGGAGGAUAUGUGAUAUCAAAUUGCCCCUCUAGUUCUUGUUUUCCUGGUGGAUUCAAUCCUAGCAGUGAAGCCUCAUCAUCAAAUCAUCCUCCUGCUUCAUCAAAUUCUUAUUCUAACUCUGAAACCUGGAUUGGUGACUCUAGUGCUAUACACCACAUGACUUCAGAGCUAAGGAAUGUUUCAGUUGCUCAACCUUAUGCUUCUGACAACAAGAUAACCAUUGGUAAUGGUACAGGUUUAAAAGUAGCUCAUACAGGCUCAAGUUAUAUUAAACUUGCUGAGCAUGUUUUACAGUUGAAUCAAGUUCUUCAUGUUCCUGACUUAGCAAUGAAUUUAUUGUCCUUCACAAAGUUGUGCAGAGAUAAUGAUUGCUUUAUCACUCUUGAUGAAUCUAACAUUGUUGUGCAGGACAAGGCAUCCAAAAGGAUUCUUUACCAAGGAAAGAGUAGUGAGGAAGGAUUAUUUCUUUUCAAGUCUCCACCACUAUCAUCAAUUUCACAACCUUCUCCAUCUGCUUUUGUCAGCUCAGCUUCUUCAUUUCCAGUAUGGCAUCAAAGGCUAGGUCAUCCUUCUUCUCCUAUCAUGUUUAAAAUGUUGUCUAGUUCCCAAAUAAAAAUUCCUAGUUCGGUUUCUAGUACAAUGUGUUCUUUUGUUUAGAAGGCAAGAUGCACAGACUUCUUUUUCCCCUUCUGAGUCAAAAUCAUCUUUGCCCUUUUCAAAGGUGCAUUAUGAUGUAUGGGGUCCAGCCCCAUGUUUGUCCAUUGAAGGGCACAAGUAUCAUGUUACUUUCAUAGAUCAUUGUACAAGAUUUGUGUGGAUUUUUCCACUUAUCAAAAAAUCUGAUGUUUUUGUCCAGUUUGUUCAUUUUUGUUCUUUUGUUGAAAAUCAAUUCAAUUCAACAAUAAAAAUACUCCAAACUAAUGGAGGUGGUGAAUUUAAUAGCAGGGCCUUUCAUAAUUUUCUUUCUUCAAAGGGUAUUGUUCAUCAAAUUACUUGUCCUCAUACCCCUCAGCAAAAUGGGGUUGCUGAGAGAAAGAAUAGACAUAUAGUGGAAACAACAAUUUCCUUAAUGUCUACAGUUGGUAUUCCCAAACAGUUUUGGUUUCACAGUAUUACUCAUGCAUUCUUGUUAUCUCAUUAACAAAAUGCCUAGCAAAUCUUUAGAUAUGAUCUCUCCCUUUGAACUUCUUUUCCAUAAGCCUCCUGACAUUUCUCAGCUAAAAAUAUUUGGUUCAUGUUGUUAUCCAUAUCUCAGACCUUAUAAUCAUGACAAAUUGGAUCCUAGAACGACACAAUGUGUCUUUUUACGUUAUGCCUUGGGGUAUAAGGGAGUGUUUUGUUACAGUAUCACUCAAAAUAAACUUUGGAUGUCAAGACAUGUAAUUUUUUAUGAAACCAUCUUUCCUUUUCAUCAUACUCCUUUUUCAGAGUCCUCCCCUAUUGAUCCAGUUACUUUCUUUCCCUCUUCUUUCUCCUCUUCAUCUCUCACUACUCUUUCACAUCCGUGGAUGCCUGUCACUUCUUCUCCUGCUUCUGCUCAUGAUGUAGUUGCUAGUAUUGGUGUUGAUUCCUCAAUAACAGAUAUUUCUACAAAUACUAGAUCAGCUGAUAUUGGUUCCACAGAAAAUAGUGGUGUAGUUUCAGCAGGUGAUAUUGAUAUUACUGAUCAUCAUUCAAACAGUGUUGGUUCAACAGGUAGUGAUUUAAAUGCUUUAGGUGAAGCUGACAUAUUGGCAUAUGAUUCAAAUAAUUCGACUGGUGUUGAUACUAUAGUAACUGUUGUUACUAAUACAGGUGGUGUUGAUGUCAUUAAUAAUGGUGCUGCUACUUCUAAUAAUACUGUUUCUCCAAGUAAUGUUUCUGCUCUUAAUGAGCCUGAUUUAAAUGCUUUACAGUAUGGAGGGAAUUUGGAUCAUGAUAUUCCUCAAGAGCUUGCCUCUAUUAUUGAUCAGAACUAUAAUGAUCAUUCUAUGUUAACUCGUGCCAAGAAUGGCAUAGUGAAAAAGAAAAGUUUUGAAGAUUUUUACUGUUUUUCUGCCAUUGCUCAACAACAGUUAUUUUCUAAGUAUCCAUAUUUCAGUGGUUUUACUGCUAUUACUGAUGUCAGUGAUAUUAUUGAACCAAAAUCUUUUCGAGCAACUUCUGGGAAGGCAGAAUGGGAUCAAGCAAUGUUGGAGGAAAUAGAGGCUUUGCUGAAACAAGGUACUUGGACUCUUGUUCCUUGUCCUACAAAUAGAAAUAUUGUGGGAAGUAAGUGGAUUUUUAAAGUCAAGAAGAAUCCUGAUGGGAGUAUUUCCAGAUACAAAGCCAGGUUGGUUGCUCAAGGCUUUAGUCAAUCUAAGGGACUAGAUUAUGAUGAAACUUUUAGCCCUGUGGUAAGACAUAGUACAGUCAGGGUCAUAUUAGCUCUUGCAGCUAUGAAUAAUUGGGAGUUAAGACAACUUGAUGUGAAGAAUGUCUUUUUACAUGGAGAUUUGAAAGAAGAAGUCUAUAUGUCUCAACCUUGGGGUUUUAUUGAUCCAGAAUAUCCUACUCGUGUUUGUUUGCUUAGAAAGUCUCUAUAUGGGUUGAAACAAGCUCCAAGAGCUUGGAAUGAAAAAUUUACUAGUUUCUACCAAGUCUGGUUUUAACUUUUUCUCAUUCAGAUCCCAUUCUCUUUAUCAAACAUACUUCAGCUGGAAUGGUUGCACUGCUAUUAUAUGUGGAUGAUAUAGUUAUCACUGGUUCAGAUUCAAAUGGCAUUCAUGAUGUUAUAUCUAAGUUGAGUAUGGUUUUUGAUAUGAAGGAUCCUGGAUCCUUGUCAUACUUUCUUGGAUUAGAGAUUACAAGAGUUCAAAAAGGCAUAUUACUUGACUAAGUAUGCAAAAGAUCUUACUAUUAAGGCUGGUAUGGACUCAAUUAAUACCUGCAAUUCUCCUUGUUUUCCUCAUUCUCAAAUGACUGUAGAUCAAGGUACUCCUCUUCAAGAUUCUACUCUCUAUAGAAGUAUUAUUGGUGCUUUACAGUAUUUAACAUUUAGUACUCGUCCAGAUAUAGCAUAUGCUGUCAAUACAGUGUGUCAGUUUAUGACUAAUCCCACAGAUGUGCAUUAUGCUGCUGUUAAGAGAAUUUUGAGAUAUUUGAAAGGAACCAUUGCUAAGGGAAUUUUCUAUAGUUCCUCUGGUGCUUUACAUAAUGUUGUGAAUGUGAAGGCCUUUUGUGAUGUUGAUUGGGCUAGUGAAGUUAUACAAAAACGUUCUACUACAGGUUUUGUUGUCUAUCUUGGUUUGUGUCCAGUUUCUUGGCAGUCCAAGAAACAAAGCACUGUAUCUAGGAGUUCUACAGAAUCAGAAUACAGAAGUUUGGCAAAUACUGCUGCAGAAAUUAGUUGGAUCAAGCAUUUACUAUGUGAUUUGAAGACUGCAAUUCCUUCUUCUCCUUUGCUCAAAUGCAUGUGAUAACCUUUCUACUCUAGCAUUAGCCUCCAAUCCAAUAUUUCACUCUAAGAUCAAGCAUCUUGACAAUGAUUGCCAUUUUGUUAGAGAAAGAGUUCAACGCAAUGAUCUUCGACUUGAGUAUGUUUCUACAACAGAACAGACUGCAGAUAUUCUUACAAAAGGCCUAGCAUCUCCUAUAUUUCGAACUCUUUGUGUCAAUCUCAGGCUAGCUUCCCUAGCUGAGGUUGAGGGAGGGUGUUGACUAUCCUUCAAUAUUGACCUUGCUGUUAUUUAGUUAUAACAGAUUU
This 8178-nucleotide long non-coding RNA is filed under the name Fragaria vesca (wild strawberry). Its description in RNAcentral is "long non-coding RNA (FVES_LNC003097)". The record is from RNAcentral. Lineage: Eukaryota; Viridiplantae; Streptophyta; Magnoliopsida; Rosales; Rosaceae.